AAUCAACGCUGGCGGCGUGCCUCAGACAUGCAAGUCGAACGCGAAAGGCUCCUUCGGGGGCCGAGUAGAGUGGCGCACGGGUGAGUAACACGUAGGUAAUUUGCCUUUGGGUGGGGAAUAACUCAGGGAAACUUGAGCUAAUACCGCAUAAUGCAGCGGCUCGACAUCGAGACAGUUGUUAAAGCGGGGGAUCGCAAGACCUCGCGCCUGAAGAGAAGCCUGCGGCAGAUUAGCUAGUUGGUAGGGUAAUGGCCUACCAAGGCGACGAUCUGUAACCGGCCUGAGAGGGCGGUCGGUCACACUGACACUGACAUACGGGUCAGACUCCUACGGGAGGCAGCAGUCGGGAAUUUUGGGCAAUGGGCGCAAGCCUGACCCAGCAACGCCG
This 388-nucleotide ribosomal RNA is filed under the name uncultured bacterium. Its description in RNAcentral is "bacterial SSU rRNA". It matches the Rfam family "Bacterial small subunit ribosomal RNA", at positions 32 to 399 of the family's 1533-position model. The record is from RNAcentral.